GGCAAUGUGGUGUAGUGGUUUGGGUUAUUAGGCUAUGACUCUGGAGAUCAGGGUUCAAAUCCCUGCUUAGCCA
Molecule: non-coding RNA, 73 nt
Organism: Phrynosoma platyrhinos (Desert horned lizard)
Lineage: Eukaryota; Metazoa; Chordata; Lepidosauria; Squamata; Phrynosomatidae
Source: the annotation of a GenBank genome assembly